GAUGAACGCUGGCGGCGUGCUUAACACAUGCAAGUCGAACGGAAAGGCCCAAGCUUGCUUGGGUACUCGAGUGGCGAACGGGUGAGUAACACGUGGGUGAUCUGCCCUGCACUUCGGGAUAAGCCUGGGAAACUGGGUCUAAUACCGGAUAGGACCACAUUUUGGAUGGUGUGGUGGAAAGUUUUUCGGUGUGGGAUGAGCUCGCGGCCUAUCAGCUUGUUGGUGGGGUAAUGGCCUACCAAGGCGUCGACGGGUAGCCGGCCUGAGAGGGUGUACGGCCACAUUGGGACUGAGAUACGGCCCAGACUCCUACGGGAGGCAGCAGUGGGGAAUAUUGCACAAUGGGCGCAAGCCUGAUGCAGCGACGCCGCGUGGGGGAUGACGGCCUUCGGGUUGUAAACUCCUUUCGCUAGGGACGAAGCGUUAUGUAACGGUACCUGGAGAAGAAGCACCGGCUAACUACGUG
Molecule: ribosomal RNA, 466 nt
Filed under: uncultured bacterium
Lineage: Bacteria
Description: partial 16S ribosomal RNA
Rfam family: Bacterial small subunit ribosomal RNA
Source: RNAcentral